UCAAGAUGAAAGGUGUGACCCUGUUGUG
RNAcentral lists this non-coding RNA (28 nucleotides) under Mus musculus (house mouse). The record is from RNAcentral. Lineage: Eukaryota; Metazoa; Chordata; Mammalia; Rodentia; Muridae.